AGUAUCAUGGUGUAGUUGGUUAUCACGUUAGUCUAACGUACUGAAGGUCUCUGAUUCAAGUCAAGGCGAUUUAG
Molecule: transfer RNA, 74 nt
Filed under: Zingiber officinale
Lineage: Eukaryota; Viridiplantae; Streptophyta; Magnoliopsida; Zingiberales; Zingiberaceae
Description: tRNA-Val
Source: RNAcentral